RNAcentral lists this long non-coding RNA (989 nucleotides) under Chinchilla lanigera (long-tailed chinchilla). Its description in RNAcentral is "lncRNA (ENSCLAG00000028219.1)". Lineage: Eukaryota; Metazoa; Chordata; Mammalia; Rodentia; Chinchillidae. The record is from RNAcentral.
CUGAGUGCGGCCGUCUGGCAGACAGGUAUGAGCAGGACUGGGAGGGAUGUGAGGUGGGGAGGCGGCUUUGCCAGCCUGGAGGUGUUGAUACCUGGCUUCUCCUCUGAAUUGAGUAUCACCUGGGGCUUCCCUAAACCACUAGCCCUUCCUGGAGACCCGGAAGCAGUGACACACACAGUAAGCUCUUGAAAAAGAUCAAAUGCUGUCCUCCUGGCAUUUCCAGGCUGAAAAGAGGCCCAAAAACUGAGUGUCCACUAUGACAUCAGCAGCUCACACUGGAACAGUCCUUUCAGACCAUUUCAUAAGUGAAGCCCAAGCCAGAAACACCUGCCAACAUCUGUUCCCCUGCUUCUGUGCACCUUCUGCGCCUGCCCAGCAAGCUUGUGUUGGUUGAAUGAAUUCACGGGACGGAAUGAGGUCAUCACAGUGAAUGGGGGAAGUGAUCAGGUUACACACCCACACUUACAAUGAUCAAGUUAGCCCUCAACUGCAGGCAGGAGCAAGGCUUGGACCAGGAGGCACUCAGCCUCAGGAAGAUGUUUUAUCGGCCCAUUAUGUGCACCAGUGCUUAAAACAGACCUUCGGGUCCAAGCCUGCUUUGUACUCAGCAGCUGAAGAUCCCCUCUGGGAAUAAUAUGUGGCUAUAUGCAGCUAUGCAAAGCAGCCCCAGUGACAUUGCUUUUGUAGCCAGGACUUGGGUACUCAACCUCUACAACUCUUUCAAAGUUGACCCAACAGUUCAAGGCCUGUGGAGGAAACCUGGAUUUGCCUGUGCUUUGCAUUUCCUCUGCAAAGUUUCUCUCUUUUGAACUCAAAGAAGUUCCCGCUUUCCCUCAGUGCCGCUUUAUGGCAAUAAAAUGACUUCUGAAAAUCAACCAGAAGCUUCUAGCAAACUAUCCAGAUUUUGAAAUCUGGCCGUUUCUAUUGCAUGGGCUUCCAUUGUGUGACACAUGCAAGACAGUUUCUAAAAUUUUAUUUUGAUGCCACAC